Molecule: long non-coding RNA, 2357 nt
Organism: Anolis carolinensis (green anole)
Lineage: Eukaryota; Metazoa; Chordata; Lepidosauria; Squamata; Anolidae
Exons: 2
Source: RefSeq, a predicted model, not a curated record
CACAGCUUUGUCAGGCAAAUCUAUCCCUUUGGAACUCAUAUUUACAGCCAACUUCCAUAAAGUGUAAGAGUCCCAUUUGGCAGUUGAUGGGAGAAGUGUAUCUGUAUUGUCAUGGGGCCAAUUCCCAGAGCUGAGUCUGCAAGCUCUGGAAUUGGAGCCAUAACAACAAGCACUCCUCGAUAGCUCAUGCAGACACCUGGCACCGGAGCAUGGGAACUUUUGGAGUGAGAAUCAAAACAGCUUUAAUGAAUAGUUGGUGUUGUAGUGGUAGUAAUGUGAUAUGUGGGGUGGGGUUUGGUGAUGAUAUUUACGUGUGGUGUGACGUUGUAGCAAAGGUGAUAAAAAUGAUUGUAGAAAGAAGGUCGUUGGAUCCAUGGAGCAGAAACCUGGACAAAGGAGAGACAAGGCAGAAGGUAGCCAACAACUAUGGUGUCGAACGGGUAGCAGUAGGAGAAUGGAAAUGGAAUCGAUUGCAGAUAGAAAAAUGGUGUUCUCCAAAGUUACCGAUGGUGUGCUGAAAGAGAGGAAAACAAUGAAAAAUGUGACUAUGAAAAAGUUAUUGAAGCUUUGUAUGUUUGGUUUACGCAGCUGAGAGACAAAGGUGUGUGUAUUUCAGGGCCUAUUUUACAGCAAAAGGUAUUGCGUUUUCAAAAAGAAUUUAAUGAAGGGGAAUCAGAUUUUACAGCAAGCAUUGGCUCGACAGGUGGAAGAAACGUUAUGGAAUCCAUCAGUUAAGUGUUUGUGGUGAGAAGCUGUCAUCAAAUUUUCAAGAAAUAGAGGCAUUCAAGAAAGAAAUUCAAGGGGAAAAAAAUUCAAGACUUUGUUGAAACUGAAAGCCUAACGGGUGAUCAGAUGUUUAAUUGUGACGAGACCGGCCUCAAUUGCAAAAUUUUACCGAGCAGGAGUCUUGCAGCCAGAACUGAAGCAGCAGCCCCUGGCUAAAAGCACAGCAAAGAAAGGCUGACAAUGUUAGCAUGCAGCAGUGCUACAGCAAACCACAAAAUGGACCUUGCAAUGAUUGGGAAGCCCAAAAAUCCAAGAGCCUUUAAAACAGUUUCAAAAAUUGCUCUUCCUGUAAAAAACUACAAUCAAAAAAGUUUGUUGAUGACCAGUGAAAUGUUCAAAAACUAUUAUUAUUAUUAUUAUUAUUAUUAUUAUUAUUAUUAUUAUUAUUAUUAUUAUUACACGUUAUUUAUAUUCCGCUCUAUCUCCCCAAGGGGACUGAGGGCAGAUCACCAAUACACAUACACGGCAAACAUUCAAUACCGUUUGGACAGAACAGAAUAAGACAAACAGAAGGAGGUAGGUAGUCUUGAAGUCCAGUUUUUUGGUGCCUUGGAGGCUGAUGUUGCGCUCAGAUUCAGUCACAGGGGUGCUGUUGCUUCAUUCUCUAUGACGGAGAGCUAUCAGAACUUCCUCCUUCCAACUUCCUCUUUGUCACCACAUUUCUGGUCUUGACGUUUAUGAUGUCGCAAAAUACCUCCCCCGCAAUUUAUGGUACCUAAUUUCUCUACUUACAGCUCAUAGACUGUUUUUGAACUGCUUAGGUAAACAGUGAGCUGGCCUGGAGGUCGAGCGCUCACCCCCGACCGGGCUUCGAACUGGCCACCUUUCGGUUGGUGGAUCUUAUUACUGCUGUUGAUUUACCAGUUGUGCUACAGCCCAGCCCUAAGGAACUUGUUCCUUCCACGGAGGAAUUUUUGAAGGAAAUUUACCUGCCCAGGAAAGCGGUUUUGUUGCUAGACAAUGCCUCAACACACCCUGAUGCAGAGGAGCUUCAAGAGGGGGACAUGAAGGCGAUGUUUCUGCCACCGAAUGUAACCGUCAUAUGCCAACCGAUGGAUCAGGGCGUUUUGGAAGAGCUCAAAAGGAACUAUUGCAGGAAGCUAUUCUCGGCAAGGAUAGAAGAAAUGGAAUAAGUUGUUAGGCCUCUCGGGAUCUAACACAAGGAUAGGGUUUGGGCUCUAGAAACCGCAAUGACACACAUCAAGCAACAAGAAGAAGCUCCGGGGAUGGACAUAAGGAUGCCGCAAAGAUGGCGAGACUUGGCAGCGGAGAAAUGGCAAUCGUUGGAAAAGCAGGCAAAGGUCACAGAUUUUAAAAAAUCUUCACAAGACUGAACUUUUUAUGGAUUUAACUUCCAACAGUGUUGUUUUAUGCAAUUCUAUAUUUAUAGUCAAGUUUUUAGUAAUAUUGUUUGUAGUCAAUGCUUUCAAUACAUUGCGAUGUUUGGUGCUAAAUUCGUAAAUACAGUGAUUUCUCCAUCAUGUUACCGUGUAUUGAACUGCUUUAUCUGUCAACUUGUUGUAAAACAUGAUGUUAUGGUGCUUAAUUUGUAAAAUCAUAAUGUAAUUUGA